Molecule: unclassified non-coding RNA, 430 nt
Filed under: soil metagenome
Description: partial contains 5.8S ribosomal RNA, internal transcribed spacer 2, and large subunit ribosomal RNA
Rfam family: 5.8S ribosomal RNA (bases 1-120)
Source: RNAcentral
GAUGAAGAACGCAGCGAAAUGCGAUACGUAAUGUGAAUUGCAGAAUUCAGUGAAUCAUCGAAUCUUUGAACGCAUAUUGCGCUCUCUGGUAUUCCGGAGAGCAUGCUUGUUUGAGUAUCAGUAAACACCUCAACUCCCUUAUCUUUUUUGAAAUUGGAGCUGGACUUGAGUGAUCCCAACGCUUUCUUCCAAGAAAGUGGCGGGUUGCUUGAAAUGCAGGUGCAGCUGAACUUUUCUCUGAGCUAUAAGCAUAUCUAUUUAGUCUGCCUAAAAAACAGAUUAUUACCUUUGCUGCAGCUAACAUAAAGGAGACUAGUUCUUGUGCUGACUGAUGCAGGAUUCACAGAGACAGCUUCGGCUGACUUUGUAAACUCGAUCUCAAAUCAAGUAAGACUACCCGCUGAACUUAAGCAUAUCAAUAAGCGGAGGA